GCCCGAAUGGCGGAAUGGUAGACGCAAAGGACUUAAAAUCCUUCGGGGGCGACCUCGUGCCGGUUCGAGUCCGGCUUCGGGCA
RNAcentral lists this transfer RNA (83 nucleotides) under Clostridiales bacterium. RNAcentral describes it as "tRNA-Leu". It matches the Rfam family "tRNA". Rfam says of the family: Transfer RNA (tRNA) molecules are approximately 80 nucleotides in length. Their secondary structure includes four short double-helical elements and three loops (D, anti-codon, and T loops). The record is from RNAcentral. Lineage: Bacteria; Bacillati; Bacillota; Clostridia; Eubacteriales.